CAGUAGCCGCGGGAAUACGAAGGGUGCAAGCGUUAAUCGGAAUUACUGGGCGUAAAGCGCGCGUAGGUGGUUUGGUAAGAUGGAUGUGAAAUCCCCGGGCUCAACCUGGGAACUGCAUCCAUAACUGCCUGACUAGAGUACGGUAGAGGGUGGUGGAAUUUCCUGUGUAGCGGUGAAAUGCGUAGAUAUAGGAAGGAACACCAGUGGCGAAGGCGACCACCUGGACUGAUACUGACACUAAGGUGCGAAAGCGUGGGGAGCAAACAGGAUUAGAUACCCCAGUAGUCCCUGUCUCUUAUAC
RNAcentral lists this ribosomal RNA (301 nucleotides) under uncultured bacterium. Its description in RNAcentral is "partial 16S ribosomal RNA". It matches the Rfam family "Bacterial small subunit ribosomal RNA", at positions 509 to 807 of the family's 1533-position model. The record is from RNAcentral.